AGAGGGUGCGAACGUUGCUCGGAAUUACUGGGCGUAAAGCGCGUGUAGGCGGGUCGGCAAGUCAGGCGUGAAAUCCCCAGGCUCAACCUGGGAACUGCGCUUGAAACUGCCGGUCUUGAGUGUCGGAGAGGGUGGCGGAAUUCCUGGUGUAGAGGUGAAAUUCGUAGAUAUCAGGAGGAACACCGGUGGCGAAGGCGGCCACCUGGACGACAGCUGACGCUGAGACGCGAAAGCGUGGGGAGCAAACAGGAUUAGAUACCCUGGUAGUCCACGCCGUAAACGAUGGGUGCUAGGUGUCUCGGGUAUUGACCCCUGAGGUGCCGUAGCUAACGCGUUAAGCACCCCGCCUGGGAAGUACGGCCGCAAGGCUA
RNAcentral lists this ribosomal RNA (371 nucleotides) under uncultured bacterium. RNAcentral describes it as "bacterial SSU rRNA". It matches the Rfam family "Bacterial small subunit ribosomal RNA", at positions 527 to 896 of the family's 1533-position model. The record is from RNAcentral.